CGCAGCCGCGGUAAUUCCAGCUCCAAUAGCGUAUAUUAAAGUUGUUGCAGUUAAAAAGCUCGUAGUUGAAUUUCGGGAUUGACGUGAUGGUCGUGCCUUAAGGGGUAUGAACUGUCGCAGUUGAUUUCUCACCUUCUGGAGAAGCUUGAUGUCCUUAAUUGGGUGUCAUGUGGAACCAGGACCUUUACCUUGAAAAAUUAGAGUGUUUAAAGCAGGCAUUUUGCUCGAAUACAUUAGCAUGGAAUAAUAGAAUAGGACGGCAUGGUUCUAUUUUGUUGGUUUCUAGGAUCACCGUAAUGAUUAAUAGGGAUAGUUGGGGGCAUUAGUAUUCAAUUGUCAGAGGUGAAAUUCUUGGAUUUAUUGAAGACUAACUACUGCGAAAGCAUUUGCCAAGGAUGUUUCCAUUAAUCAAGAACGAAAGUUAGGGGAUCGAAGACGAUCAGAUACCGUCGUAGUCUUAAACCAUAAACUAUGCCGACUAGGAAUCAGACGAUGUAAUUUUUAAUGACUC
RNAcentral lists this ribosomal RNA (511 nucleotides) under uncultured Entrophospora. RNAcentral's name for it is "SSU rRNA". It matches the Rfam family "Eukaryotic small subunit ribosomal RNA", at positions 569 to 1077 of the family's 1831-position model. The record is from RNAcentral. Lineage: Eukaryota; Fungi; Glomeromycota; Glomeromycetes; Entrophosporales; Entrophosporaceae.